AGAGUUUGAUCCUGGCUCAGGAUGAACGCUAGCUACAGGCUUAACACAUGCAAGUCGAGGGGAAACGGCAUUUAGUGCUUGCACUGAAUGGACGUCGACCGGCGCACGGGUGAGUAACGCGUAUCCAACCUUCCCAUUACUGUGGGAUAACCUGCCGAAAGGCAGACUAAUACCGCAUAGUCUUCGAUGACGGCAUCAGAUUUGAAGUAAAGAUUUAUCGGUAAUGGAUGGGGAUGCGUCUGAUUAGCUUGUUGGCGGGGUAACGGCCCACCAAGGCAACGAUCAGUAGGGGUUCUGAGAGGAAGGUCCCCCACAUUGGAACUGAGACACGGUCCAAACUCCUACGGGAGGCAGCAGUGAGGAAUAUUGGUCAAUGGGCGAGAGCCUGAACCAGCCAAGUAGCGUGCAGGAUGACGGCCCUAUGGGUUGUAAACUGCUUUUGUAUGGGGAUAAAGUCAAUCACGUGUGAUUGUUUGCAGGUACCAUACGAAUAAGGACCGGCUAAUUCCGUGCCAGCAGCCGCGGUAAUACGGAAGGUCCGGGCGUUAUCCGGAUUUAUUGGGUUUAAAGGGAGCGUAGGCCGGAGAUUAAGUGUGUUGUGAAAUGUAGACGCUCAACGUCUGACUUGCAGCGCAUACUGGUUUCCUUGAGUACGCACAACGUUGGCGGAAUUCGUCGUGUAGCGGUGAAAUGCUUAGAUAUGACGAAGAACUCCGAUUGCGAAGGCAGCUGACGGGAGCGCAACUGACGCUUAAGCUCGAAGGUGCGGGUAUCGAACAGGAUUAGAUACCCUGGUAGUCCGCACAG
Molecule: ribosomal RNA, 807 nt
Filed under: uncultured Prevotella sp.
Lineage: Bacteria; Pseudomonadati; Bacteroidota; Bacteroidia; Bacteroidales; Prevotellaceae
Description: bacterial SSU rRNA
Rfam family: Bacterial small subunit ribosomal RNA
Source: RNAcentral